This 216-nucleotide ribosomal RNA is filed under the name Triticum aestivum (bread wheat). RNAcentral's name for it is "partial small subunit ribosomal RNA". The record is from RNAcentral. Lineage: Eukaryota; Viridiplantae; Streptophyta; Magnoliopsida; Poales; Poaceae.
AUGGCGGCCACGGGUGGGCACGGCGGCUUUGGCAACGGGGGGCAGGGGAAAAGAGUGGAAUCGGCGCGGCGCUCACCGUGGAGCUCGGUAGCAUGCUCGGGGAGGCUGGAGGCAGAUCAGAGCGAUGGCAACGACGGCGAGGUGGUGACGGCCACGGCGGAGAAGACUCGCGAUGGCGAGCUUGACGACGGCCUGGUGACGAAUCGAAGGUUGUAG